Gadus chalcogrammus (walleye pollock) is the source of this 878-nucleotide long non-coding RNA. RefSeq lists it as uncharacterized. The record is from RefSeq and is a predicted model, not a curated record. NCBI's taxonomy places the organism in Eukaryota, Metazoa, Chordata, Actinopteri, Gadiformes, Gadidae. The transcript is spliced from 3 exons.
UCGGCGCCAACGUUAAUAAGUAACUCUUAUUAACUCAGCAAAGGGAUGUUAGCCGUCGACAUUUUCCCCAGAUGUUCUAAUUAUGUUUCAUUGUUAGACGUUUGAUCUGGACUCAAGCUGUAGGCCUACCAGUCAGAUGAUUAACUCAGUGGAGGAGGAGGACAUUGCGGAUAUCAGGGCCUACUUUUCCACAACAAAAUGGAACCGCCUCUGUAUGGCGGAGAAAAAAAGAUUCCUGCAGAUCAAGGAAAACCAUUUGGUUAUGUCGUCUCUUGGCCUGUCCUUUGUGGCUCCAGCCUUCAUGAGGAGAGAGAAGCCCGGCCAGGUGAGAGUCUGCUCACCUGAAGAGACAGACUCUGAGGAGGAGCAGCUCUGGACCUCUGGAUUGACCGGUGCAAAGACAUUUACAAGACAUUUCUGGAAGGAGUAAUGUGCAGUGAACAUUAUCCCUUUCAAAGCCCUGAAGAUACAUUAGCCCGCUUAUACUGCUUAAUCAUUUGACCAAAGAUAUAGCAACAAAAAGGGGUUUUAUUGAUUUAAAGGGAUUUUAUUGCAUCUGAAAAAAGGAAAACCUGUACUAAACAUAUUUAACAAUAGGUUGUACCUCAUAGUAAAUUAGCAGGUUAUAUUACCCAUUUUAGUCAGUUAGUUGAAGUGAGUCGUUAAUAUACUACUUUAUAGUCAGUUAGUAGGAGUUAGUAGCAUACAUCCUUACUUACAGUUAGUCAGAUAUAGUAUGUAAGUUAGGUUUUAUACUUCAUUGGUUGUUAGUAGCUUAUACUACCUUUUUAGUCAUUUAGUAGUGAGUAGGAUACUUCCUUACUUAGAGUCAGUAAGUAGUUAUUUGGUUAAAUAUUAAUUUAUCGUAAGUCAGAAAG